AUCGCCUUCCGAACAUUUAAACAUGGAAGGUCCCGCCUGCCCUGUGAUCAUGUAUUUAACGGCCGCGGUAUUUUGACCGUGCAAAGGUAGCGCAAUCACUUGUCUUUUAAAUGAAGACCUGUAUGAAUGGCAUAACGAGGGCUUGACUGUCUCCCCCUCCCAGUCAGUGAAAUUGAUUUUUCCGUGCAGAAGCGGGAAUAUGACCAUAAGACGAGAAGACCCUGUGGAGCUUUAGACAAGAAGUGGAGCUUGUAAAGAUUUAGCCUUUCCCUGCAAUAAAACAAUAAGUGAACCAUUUUACUGUCUUUGGUUGGGGCGACCGCGGGGAAACAAAUAACCCCCACGUGGAAAUAUGAACAUCCUUCUUUAAAACUAGAGCAACAGCUCAAAACAACAGAAUAUCUGACCUAAAUUGACCCGGCGCACUUGCCGAUCAACGAAACCAGUUACCCCAGGGAUAACAGCGCAAUCCUCUCCCAGAGCCCAUAUCGACGAGAGGGUUUACGACCUCGAUGUUGGAUCAGGACAUCCUAAUGGUGCAGCCGCUAUUAAGGGUUCGUUUGUUCAACGAUUAAAGUCCUACGUGAU
Molecule: ribosomal RNA, 588 nt
Filed under: Praealticus margaritatus
Lineage: Eukaryota; Metazoa; Chordata; Actinopteri; Blenniiformes; Blenniidae
Description: partial 16S ribosomal RNA
Rfam family: Bacterial large subunit ribosomal RNA
Source: RNAcentral